GAUAGAAAUUCCCUUCGGGGCUUUCUGCAAGGUGCUGCAUGGUUGUCGUCAGCUCGUGCCGUGAGGUGUCGGGUUAAGUCCCAUAACGAGCGCAACCCUUAUCGUUAGUUGCCAGCGGGUCAAGCCGGGGACUCUAGCGAGACUGCCACCGUAAGGUGUGAGGAAGGUGGGAUGACGUCAAAUCAGCACGGCCCUUAUGUCCAGGGCUACACACGUGUUACAAUGGCCGAUACAAAGGGCAGCUACCAGGUGACUGGAUGCUAAUCUCCAAAGUCGGUCUCAGUUCGGAUCGAAGUCUGCAACCCGACUUCGUGAAGCUGGAUUCGCUAGUAAUCGCAUAUCAGCCAUGAUGCGGUCGAAUACGUUCCCGGGCCUU
This 376-nucleotide ribosomal RNA is filed under the name uncultured Sphingobacteriales bacterium. Its description in RNAcentral is "bacterial SSU rRNA". It matches the Rfam family "Bacterial small subunit ribosomal RNA", at positions 1007 to 1382 of the family's 1533-position model. Lineage: Bacteria; Pseudomonadati; Bacteroidota; Sphingobacteriia; Sphingobacteriales. The record is from RNAcentral.